UUAAGCGACUAAGCGUACACGGUGGAUGCCCUGGCAGUCAGAGGCGAUGAAGGACGUGCUAAUCUGCGAAAAGCGUCGGUAAGGUGAUAUGAACCGUUAUAACCGGCGAUGUCCGAAUGGGGAAACCCAGUGCAAUUCGUUGCACUAUCGUUAACUGAAUACAUAGGUUAACGAGGCGAACCGGGGGAACUGAAACAUCUAAGUACCCCGAGGAAAAGAAAUCAACCGAGAUUCCCCCAGUAGCGGCGAGCGAACGGGGAGCAGCCCAGAGUCUGAAUCAGCUUGUGUGUUAGUGGAACGGUCUGGAAAGUCCGACGGUACAGGGUGAUAGUCCCGUACACCAAAAUGCACAGGCUGUGAACUCGAAGAGUAGGGCGGGACACGUGGUAUCCUGUCUGAAUANNNNGGACCAUCCUCCAAGGCUAAAUACUCCUGACUGACCGAUAGUGAACCAGUACCGUGAGGGAAAGGCGAAAAGAACCCCGGCGAGGGGAGUGAAAAAGAACCUGAAACCGUGUACGUACAAGCAGUGGGAGCACCUUCGGGUGUGACUGCGUACCUUUUGUAUAAUGGGUCAGCGACUUAUAUUCUGUAGCAAGGUUAACCGUAUAGGGGAGCCGCAGGGAAACCGAGUCUUAACUGGGCGUUAAGUUGCAGGGUAUAGACCCGAAACCCGGUGAUCUAGCCAUGGGCAGGUUGAAGGUUGGGUAACACUAACUGGAGGACCGAACCGACUAAUGUUGAAAAAUUAGCGGAUGACUUGUGGCUGGGGGUGAAAGGCCAAUCAAACCGGGAGAUAGCUGGUUCUCCCCGAAAGCUAUUUAGGUAGCGCCUCGUGAACUCAUCUUCGGGGGUAGAGCACUGUUUCGGCUAGGGGGUCAUCCCGACUUACCAACCCGAUGCAAACUACGAAUACCGAAGAAUGUUAUCACGGGAGACACACGGCGGGUGCUAACGUCCGUCGUGAAGAGGGAAACAACCCAGACCGCCAGCUAAGGUCCCAAAGUCAUGGUUAAGUGGGAAACGAUGUGGGAAGGCACAGACAGCCAGGAUGUUGGCUUAGAAGCAGCCAUCAUUUAAAGAAAGCGUAAUAGCUCACUGGUCGAGUCGGCCUGCGCGGAAGAUGUAACGGGGCUAAACCAUGCACCGAAGCUGCGGCAGCGACACUAUGUGUUGUUGGGUAGGGGAGCGUUCUGUAAGCCUGCGAAGGUGACCUGUGAGGGUUGCUGGAGGUAUCAGAAGUGCGAAUGCUGACAUAAGUAACGAUAAAGCGGGUGAAAAGCCCGCUCGCCGGAAGACCAAGGGUUCCUGUCCAACGUUAAUCGGGGCAGGGUGAGUCGACCCCUAAGGCGAGGCCGAAAGGCGUAGUCGAUGGGAAACAGGUUAAUAUUCCUGUACUUGGUGUUACUGCGAAGGGGGGACGGAGAAGGCUAUGUUAGCCGGGCGACGGUUGUCCCGGUUUAAGCAUGUAGGCUGGUUGUCCAGGCAAAUCCGGAUAAUCAAGGCUGAGGUGUGAUGACGAGGCACUACGGUGCUGAAGUAACAAAUGCCCUGCUUCCAGGAAAAGCCUCUAAGCAUCAGGUAACAUCAAAUCGUACCCCAAACCGACACAGGUGGUCAGGUAGAGAAUACCAAGGCGCUUGAGAGAACUCGGGUGAAGGAACUAGGCAAAAUGGUGCCGUAACUUCGGGAGAAGGCACGCUGGUGUGUAGGUGAAGCCCCUGCGGGUGGAGCUGAGACCAGUCGAAGAUACCAGCUGGCUGCAACUGUUUAUUAAAAACACAGCACUGUGCAAACACGAAAGUGGACGUAUACGGUGUGACGCCUGCCCGGUGCCGGAAGGUUAAUUGAUGGGGUUAUCCGUAAGGAGAAGCUCUUGAUCGAAGCCCCGGUAAACGGCGGCCGUAACUAUAACGGUCCUAAGGUAGCGAAAUUCCUUGUCGGGUAAGUUCCGACCUGCACGAAUGGCGUAAUGAUGGCCAGGCUGUCUCCACCCGAGACUCAGUGAAAUUGAACUCGCUGUGAAGAUGCAGUGUACCCGCGGCAAGACGGAAAGACCCCGUGAACCUUUACUAUAGCUUGACACUGAACAUUGAGCCUUGAUGUGUAGGAUAGGUGGGAGGCUUUGAAGCGUGGACGCCAGUCUGCGUGGAGCCAACCUUGAAAUACCACCCUUUAAUGUUUGAUGUUCUAACGUUGGCCCCUGACCGGGGUUGCGGACAGUGUCUGGUGGGUAGUUUGACUGGGGCGGUCUCCUCCCAAAGCGUAACGGAGGAGCACGAAGGUUAGCUAAUCCUGGUCGGACAUCAGGAGGUUAGUGCAAUGGCAUAAGCUAGCUUGACUGCGAGCGUGACGGCGCGAGCAGGUGCGAAAGCAGGUCAUAGUGAUCCGGUGGUUCUGAAUGGAAGGGCCAUCGCUCAACGGAUAAAAGGUACUCCGGGGAUAACAGGCUGAUACCGCCCAAGAGUUCAUAUCGACGGCGGUGUUUGGCACCUCGAUGUCGGCUCAUCACAUCCUGGGGCUGAAGUAGGUCCCAAGGGUAUGGCUGUUCGCCAUUUAAAGUGGUACGCGAGCUGGGUUUAGAACGUCGUGAGACAGUUCGGUCCCUAUCUGCCGUGGGCGCUGGAGAAUUGAGGGGGGCUGCUCCUAGUACGAGAGGACCGGAGUGGACGCAUCACUGGUGUUCGGGUUGUCAUGCCAAUGGCACUGCCCGGUAGCUAAAUGCGGAAGAGAUAAGUGCUGAAAGCAUCUAAGCACGAAACUUGCCCCGAGAUGAGUUCUCCCUGAGACUUUAAGUCUCCUGAAGGAACGUUGAAGACGACGACGUUGAUAGGCCGGGUGUGUAAGCGCAGCGAUGCGUUGAGCUAACCGGUACUAAUGAACCGUGAGGCUUAACCUU
RNAcentral lists this ribosomal RNA (2899 nucleotides) under Klebsiella pneumoniae. RNAcentral describes it as "bacterial LSU rRNA". It matches the Rfam family "Bacterial large subunit ribosomal RNA". The record is from RNAcentral. Lineage: Bacteria; Pseudomonadati; Pseudomonadota; Gammaproteobacteria; Enterobacterales; Enterobacteriaceae.